GUACACUUCAACUGUGAGAGACGGAAUCUAAAAAAAAAAUCUGGGAAAUCACAUUGUGUGAAUUUUAAAUAAUUAAUUUGUAUGAUAUUGCAUGACAUAAGUAUUUGAUCACCUACCAACCAGUAAGAAUUUGGGCCCUCACAGACCUGUUAGUGUUUCAUUAAGAAGCCCUCCUGUUCUCCACUCAUUACCUGUUUUAACUGCACCUUUUUGAACUCGUUACCUGUAUAAAAGACACCUGUCCACACACUCAAACAGACUCCAACCUCUCCACAAUGGCCAAGACCAGAGAGCUGUGUAAGGACAUCAGGGAUAAAAUGGUAGACCUGCCCAAGUCUGGGAUGGGCUACAGGACAACAGGCAAGCCGCUUGGUGAGAAGGCAACAACUGUUGGCGCAAUUAUUAGAAAAUGGAAGAAGUUCAAGAUGACGGUCAAUCUCCUUCGGUCUGGGGCUCCAUGGAAGAUCUCACCUUACCUAGAAAUACAU
Etheostoma spectabile (orangethroat darter) is the source of this 488-nucleotide long non-coding RNA. RefSeq lists it as uncharacterized. The transcript has 3 exons. NCBI's taxonomy places the organism in Eukaryota, Metazoa, Chordata, Actinopteri, Perciformes, Percidae. The record is from RefSeq and is a predicted model, not a curated record.